GACGAACGCUGGCGGCGUGCCUAAUACAUGCAAGUCGAGCGAAAAGACGCGGAGCUUGCUCCUCUGACGUUAGCGGCGGACGGGUGAGUAACACGUGGAUAACCUCCCUAUAAGACUGGGAUAACUUCGGGAAUCCGGAGCUAAUACCGGAUAAUAUAUUGAACCGCAUGGUUCAAUAGUGAAAGACGGUUUUGCUGUCUCUUAUAGAUGGAUCCGCGCCGCAUUAGCUAGUUGGUAAGGUAACGGCUUACCAAGGCGACGAGGCGUAGCCGACCUGCGAGGGGGAUCGGCCACACGGGAACGGAGACGCGGACCAGACUCCUACGGGAGGCAGCAGUAGGGAAUCGGCCGCAAUGGGCGAAAGCCUGACGGAGCAACGCCGCGUGAGUGAUGAAGGUCUUCGGAUCGUAAAACUCUGUUAUUAGGGAAGAACAAAUGUGUAAGUAACUAUGCACGUCGUGACGGUACCUAAUCAGAAAGCCACGGCUAACUACGUG
This 497-nucleotide ribosomal RNA is filed under the name uncultured bacterium. RNAcentral describes it as "partial 16S ribosomal RNA". It matches the Rfam family "Bacterial small subunit ribosomal RNA", at positions 28 to 507 of the family's 1533-position model. The record is from RNAcentral.